GAUGAGGACAUCCCAAGUAAUGAUACAACCACAGCCCCUACAGCACCUACACCUCAAGUACCGGAGAUACAUGGACCAAUUACUAGAGGUCGUGCACGACAACUAAAUUAUCAGGUACUUUCGUUCCUCGGUACUUCAUUUAAUAUUAAUGAGAAUAUGCUGCCGCCUAAGAUGGGUUCUUUUACGUGUUUUAGGAAUGAAGGACCUAGCUUGGACCUCAAGGAUCAGCGUUGGACAGCAAACCAUGGAGGUGGCAGCAAGGUGGCGGGAGUUAGCUCAAGUGUUGAUUUCAGAACAUUGAAACCGCCAUAAAGAGAUGAGAAGAAGGCUGCAUCCUCUUCAUCAAUGGGAUUUCGGCCAAGUGGAGGAUUCCCCCUCCAAUGGGUAUCUAUGGGCCAAAGAUGAGAGUUAUAACCUUGUUUUAUUGGGCCUAAGGCCAUGUAAUAGGGUCCAGCCAAUUUUUAGAUGUUUUCGUUGUGUUUUAGGAGGAUUCCUAGGCCGUUUCGGAGUCCCACAAGGGCCUGGCCGAAAACCACCUAGUUCCCCUCCUAUUUAUACCCCAUGAGCCCCCCUAUGGAGCCUGGGGUUUUGAUUAGAUAAAGUUUAGCCUUUGCUACUUUCGUGUAAUCGCGUGUGUCGGUUAGACCACCUGUUUUACCGUCAUCAAGACUCCAACUAUAUUGAGUAUUCAGAUUCGUGAACCUUCAUAUCUCCUAUUCGCAAUUUCAGAUUGCUUUUCAUCUUGUUCUUGCUUGUUCUUCGAUUGCUUGCAGGAACAAAGACCUUCGUGGUCAGGUUGAUCGUGCCCCCGCGGAAUCAAUAACCUUCUGGAGUUGGUGUAUCGAUCACUAAGGCGCUGCCUCCUAGGUUGUAGUCGGAUCGUCAACGUCACCUCCUACCAAAUCUAUAAUUAGGUAUCUCAUCGAAAGAUCGGGACACCCUCGAGGAUAUCACGUGGUAUUAGAGCUUAAGGUUGUUCGGUGAGAUUUUUCCAGUUUAUCCGUAGUUUAGAUCUGUUUUUACCUAUCGUCCAGAAAAAGCCAAACAAAAAUUAGAAUUAGUUACCUUGUCCUAGAACCAAUCUGAGCCUUGCAAUUUUCACAUUAGUAUUUGCAUUGUUGAAUCUUUGCUGCAUUAAUCGUGUCGAGUUGCUGGAUUAGAUUGGAUCGUUUUUCAGAUUUUUUUCUACUAGAUCGAACUUUCUUUUGGUUUUCUUGUUCUUCGUAUGACGCAGGUUUCCUUCAUCAAUCUUCCGCCGCCAAACUUCCUGCCACACCAUCGUCAUAAUCUUCCGCCGCCACCAUAUCUUCCACCGAGUCCCUCUUCGAGUCCUACACCGAGUCCCUCGUCGAGUCCUACAUUGAGUCGGCAAGUUAUAGUUUUCAGCCGCGAGUUCAAAUCCGAGUCCAAUCAAGAGUGCUUUUGGAAAGUGUUUCAUAAUAGAUCAAAUUUUGUUUAGAGAUCAAGUUGUUCAGAAAGUUGUGAAAAAAAAAAGAAGGGAAAGAAAAAAAAAAGGAAGAAAGAAAGAAAAAAAACGAAAAAAAAAGAGAAAGAGUUCGAGUCAGUUUCGGACCCGAGUCCGAGUAGAAUUUUAGUUUCGGGUGGGUUUGACCCGUGUUCAGUAAAACGGACGUAUCGUUUGCAUACCAACUCGGAUUUGGACGUUCUUAGACUUUUUGGAAAGCUCACGACGAAGCGCAUCAGGAAAUAUCCAGCGCAUCGCCCUGCACUUUGACCCUCAAAUUCGGCCUCUAAGGUGGACUUUUCGAGCUCCAAAGUUUCUGCACCCAUUUUACGGCACCGGGGCAGCGCAGUAUAUCUCAGUUUUCUCUACCGUCCGACCUCCGUUUUUAGUGAUCUUGCACUUGUUGGAAAGCUUGUUUUGAUACGCUUCUAACCCAUAUUUUCUCAUAUUUUUCUGAGUUUUCCUUACUACAGCCUUUGGUAUUCUCCUACAGACCGACGUGCAGCUUUCCGGUCUUAACUUCUUUUGCGUGAGUUUCUGGGGAUAAAAAAAAAGAAUAAGAAGCCAAACAGAUGGCCACAAAAAGAAAAAAAAAGAGAAAAAAAUAUUCCCCAGAGAUUUACUUGUUUUACCUUUCAUUUGAUCUUUCCUUUCUACCUUUUUCAGUAUCUAGGCUUAGUUAAUUUCUGUAAUUCAUUCUUGUCGACUCCAACAACUAGGACUAGCAUUUUUGAGUAUAUUUUCAACUUUGCAUUGCUGAUUUGAUUAUUCGCUUUUCCUUGCUACUCACAUAAACCUCCAAGCUCCACAGAUUCUACACCUAGGUUGGUUUGCCUCGAGGCAUCGAUACACUAAUCUUCGGAGGGCUUGUUCUCAUCGCUGGCCAUCACCUUCCUGUUUGUUGGGUAAGAACGAGUAAGAACUUGAUUAAAAGUUGAGUGGAGUGAUCUUUGGAACCCCACAUCCUAGUAGUGCAUAGGGACUUUUCGUUGUGAUUUGUUUCUUGUUUUCUCCUAACGAUGGCAGGUUCUGACGAUGAUUUUUGCAAGGCCACUCUCCACGCACAAAGGGCAUUAUUUCACAUUUUGAUCGCAAGCUUAGGCUCCGUAACGAGGAGCUGGAUGAGGACGUUCGGGUUGCGAAUGAGAGACUUGGAACCUUGGAGAGCGCGCACAUUGAAACAAAUACCAAGCUAACAUCUUUACAGAAUUCUGUUGCUACCAUUAGUACUUCUCUGGCAGAAAUCACGACGCAACUGGCGGCAAUUGCUGCAACGACCAUCGCUACACCGGGAGGAAACAAUACACACAACCAGCGGACCGCUAAUAACGGUACCUUCGCAAGCGAGGUUGAGGAGAACGACGACGACUACUCCGCGGAUACGGAACACGACGGGGCCGUAAACCAUCACAACGACUGUGAUCAUCGCCGAACUCGUUUCAACCACCGAGGUAUGGGACCGACACGACCUCACAGAGAGGAACAUGACUUGCUGCAUUCUAUUAAACUUAAGGUUCCUCCUUUUGAUGGAAAAUAUGACCCUGAUGCUUACCUUACUAUUUGCGUGACUUGUUAAAGAAACUACAACAAUUAAGGCAAGGUAGUAAUUCUGUCCAAGAUUAUUAUCAAGAAAUGCAAAAGAACAUGUUACGUUGUGGUUUAGUUGAGAAUGAGGAAGCUGCUAUGGCUAGAUUCUUUGGUGGUUUAAAUCGUGAAAUUGCUGACAUUGUUGAUUAUAAGGAGUAUAAUUCUAUCAAUCGAUUGUUUCACAUUGCUUGCAAAGCUGAAAGGGAAGUGCAAGGACGACACGUGAACGCGCGGACUAACUUUUCUGCAGGUCGUACUUCCUCAUGGGCAGCACGCAGCCCCGCUGCCCCUUCCACACUCCCAGCUGCACCCCCUACACGUUCGGCUGUUCCGACUACUUCCACCAACAAGCAAAGUACCUAUACACCUACAUCCGCAAAGGUUGGACCAGCAGCAACAAGAAAUACACCCGCUGCCUCUGCACAAAGUUCAGUAGCGUCCGUUGCUUCCACCGGACGGACCGGAGAUAACCAAUGUCGUAGGUGCAAAGGAUACGGGCAUUUUCAGCGGGACUGUCCAACCAAACGCGUUAUGAUCAUACGUGAAGACGGAGUAUAUGAUUCAGCCAGUGAUUUUGACGAAGCUACCUAUGCUCUCAUUGCCGAGAAAGAGCAAGAAGACCCCGCUGCCCACCAUGACGAGGAGUUAAUGGGAGCUGAAGCCGCUGAUCAGUACUUGAGUUUGAUUGCACAACGCACCUUGAGCGUCCAAAUGAGCCACGCCGAACAAAAUCAGCGGCAUAACUUGUUCCAAACAAAAGGGGUCAUCAAGGAGCGCGCUGUUCGUAUCAUCAUAGAUGGGGGAAGUUGCAAUAAUUUGGCCAGCACGGAGAUGGUGGAAAAACUUGUUCUUACCACCAGGCCGCACCCCCACCCUUACUACAUUCAAUGGUUUAACAACAGCGGUAAGCUCAAGGUAACUAGAACAGUCCGUGCACACUUUACUAUUGGUACAUAUUCUGAUUUUGUGGAUUGUGAUGUGGUACCUAUGCAAGCAUGUUCUAUGUUACUCGGUCGUCCAUGGCAAUAUGAUACAGAUUCUGUUCAUCAUGGUAGAACUAAUCAUUAUUCUUUUAUGCAUGCUGGUAAGAAAAUUGGUUUGAAACCUAUGACUCCUGAACAAAUUGUGAAAGAUGAUCUUGCUAGAGCUAGUAGAGCAAAGAGCAAAAAGAAGGAUAAGAGUGAGAACCAUAAUGUCGCUAAAGAAUUUAAGCACCAAACGUCUACUAGCAAAUCUGAACCGAAACAUGUUAAUGAAAUUAAAUUGAAAGGUGCAUGCUUGCUUGCAAGUAAAUCUGAUAUUUCUGAGUUAGAUACGAAUAAUUCUGUUUGCUAUGCAUUCAUUUGCAAAGAGGCUUUGUUUUCAUUUGAGGAUAUGCCUCCCUCUUUGCCCCCUGCUGUUACUCACGUUUUGCAGGAGUAUUCCGACAUCUUUCCACAAGACGUACCACCAGGAUUACCACCUAUUCGAGGGAUUGAACAUCAAAUUGAUUUAAUUCCUGGUGCUUCGCUGCCCAACCGUGCACCCUACCGUACCAAUCCAGAGGAGACGAAGGAGAUUCAACGACAAGUUCAAGAAUUGCUCGACAAAGGUUAUAUUCGUGAAUCCCUUAGUCCUUGUGCUGUUCCUGUUAUUUUGGUACCAAAGAAAGAUGGUUCUUGGCGUAUGUGUGUAGAUUGUUGAGCUAUUAAUAACAUUACUAUUCGCUAUCGUCACCCAAUUCCUAGACUUGAUGAUAUGUUAGAUGAAUUAAGUGGCUCUACCGUGUUCUCUAAAGUUGAUUUACGUAGUGGUUACCACCAAAUUCGAAUGAAAUUAGGCGAUGAAUGGAAAACAGCAUUUAAAACUAAGUUUGGACUAUAUGAGUGGUUAGUCAUGCCUUUCGGUCUUACUAACGCACCUAGCACUUUCAUGCGGUUAAUGAACGAAGUUUUACGUGCUUUCAUAGGACGAUUUGUGGUGGUUUAUUUUGAUGAUAUAUUGAUUUACAGCAGCUCUUUAGAAGACCACUUGAAUCAUUUACGUGCUGUUUUUGAUGCUUUGAGAGAUGCACGUUUGUUUGGUAACCUUGAGAAGUGCACCUUUUGCACCGAUCGAGUUUCGUUUCUUGGCUAUGUUGUCACUCCACAGGGCAUAGAAGUUGAUAAGGCCAAGAUCGACGCUAUUCAAAGCUGGCCAACUCCAACAACGGUCACCCAAGUGAGGAGCUUUCUUGGACUCGCUGGGUUUUAUCGCCGCUUUGUAAAGGAUUUCAGCACCCUUGCUGCACCGCUUAAUGAGCUCACAAAGAAGGACGUUCCAUAUGUAUGAGGUGCUGCACAAGAAGAAGUUUUUCUCAUAUUGAAAGAUAAGUUGACACAUGCUCCUUUACUCCAACUUCCUGAUUUUAAUAAGACUUUUGAGUUGGAGUGUGAUGCUAGUGGAAUCGGUUUAGGAGGUGUGUUGUUACAAGAUGGAAAACCUGUUGCAUACUUUAGUGAAAAAUUGAGUGGGCCUAGUCUGAAUUAUUCUACUUAUGAUAAGGAAUUAUAUGCUCUCGUUCGGACUUUAGAAACAUGGCAACAUUAUUUAUGGCCCAAAGAAUUUGUUAUACAUUCUGAUCAUGAAUCUUUGAAGCAUAUUCCUAGUCAAGCAAAGCUGAACCGUCGUCAUGCUAAAUGGGUUGAAUUUAUUGAGUCUUUUCCGUAUGUUAUUAAACAUAAGAAGGGUAAAGAUAAUGUUAUUGCUGAUGCGUUAUCACGUCGUUAUACCUUGUUAUCUCAGCUUGAUUUUCGGAUAUUUGGAUUGGAGACUAUAAAAGAACAAUAUGAACAUGAUGCAGAUUUUAAGGAUGUUUUGCAGCAUUGUAAAGAGGGCAGAACAUGGAACAAGUUCGUCAUUAAUGAUGGAUUUGUGUUCCGUGCUAACAAGCUAUGCAUCCCAGAUAGCUCCGUUCGUCUUUUGUUGUUACAGGAGGCACAUGGAGGAGGGUUGAUGGGUCACUUCGGCGUGAAGAAGACCGAAGAUGUGCUCGCUGAGCAUUUCUUUUGGCCUCGGAUGACACGGGAUGUUGAGAGAUUUAUCGCUUGCUGCACUACAUGUCAAAAAGCUAAGUCACGACUCAAUCCUCAUGGUUUAUAUAUGCCUCUCCCUGUUCCUAAUGUUCCUUGGGAAGAUAUAUCAAUGGAUUUUGUUUUGGGAUUGCCUCAAACUAAAAAGGGGAGGGAUAGCAUAUUUGUUGUUGUUGAUAGAUUUUCUAAGAUGGCACAUUUUAUAGCUUGUCAUAAGAGCGAUGAUGCUACAAAUGUUGCUGAUUUAUUCUUUCGUGAAAUUGUUCGCUUGCAUGGUGUGCCCAAUACUAUAGUUUCAGAUCGUGACACAAAAUUUUUUAGCCACUUUUGGAGAUGUUUAUGGGCUAAGUUGGGGACUAAAUUGCUUUUUAGUACUACAUGUCAUCCCCAAACAGAUGGACAAACUGAAGUUGUUAAUAGAACAUUAUCUACUAUGCUUAGGGCUGUUUUAAAGAAGAACUUGAAAAUGUGGGAAGAAUGUUUACCUCAUAUUGAAUUUGCUUAUAAUCGUUCACUGCAUUCAACCACAAAAUUGUGCCCUUUUGAAAUUGUUUAUGGUUUUAUACCUCGUGCACCAAUUGAUUUGUUACCUUUGCCAACUUCUGAAAAAGUUAACUUUGAUGCUAAGGAACGUGCUGAACUUAUAAUAAAAAUGCAUGAGACGACUAAAGAGAACAUUGAGCGCAUGAAUUCUAAGUAUAAACUUGCGGGAGAUAGGGGCAGAAAACAAAUUGUGUUUGAACCUGGAGAUCUUGUUUGGUUGCAUUUGCGCAAAGAUCGUUUCCCUGAUUUGCGCAAGUCUAAGUUAAUGCCACGAGCUGAUGGUCCCUUUAAGGUCUUAGCGAAAAUUAAUGAUAAUGCAUAUAAACUUGAGCUACCUGCAGAUUUUGGGGUUAGUCCCACGUUUAAUAUUGCAGAUUUGAAGCCUUAUUUGGGAGAAGAAGAUGAACUACCGUCGAGGGCGACUUCGAUUCAAGAAGGGGAGGAUGAUGAGGACAUCCCAAGUAAUGAUACAACCACAGCCCCUACAGCACCUACACCUCAAGUACCAGAGAUACAUGGACCAAUUACUAGAGGUCGUGCACGACAACUAAAUUAUCAGGUGCUUUCGUUCCUCGGUACUUCAUUUAAUAUUAGUGAGAAUAUGCUGCUGCCUAAGAUGGUUUCUUUUACGUGUUUUAGGAAUGAAGGACCUAGCUUGGACCUCAAGGAUCAGCGUUGGACAGCAAACCAUGGAGGUGGCAGCAAGGUGGCGGGAGUUAGCUCAAGUGUUGAUUUCAGAACAUUAAAACCGCCAUAAAGAGAUGAGAAAAAGGCCGCAUUCUCUUCAUCAAUGGGAUUUCGGCCAAGUGAAGGAUUCCCCCUCCAAUGGGUAUCUAUGGGCCAAAGAUGAGGGUUAUAACCUUGUUUUAUUGGGCUUAAGGCCAUGUAAUAGGGUCCAGCCAAUUUUUAGAUGUUUUCGUUGUGUUUUAGGAGGAUUCCUAGGCCGUUUCGGAGUUCCACAAGGGCCUGGCCGAAAACCACCUAGUUCCCCUCCUAUUUAUACUCCAUGAGCCCCCCUUUGGAGCCUGGGGUUUUGAUUAGAUAAAGUUUAGCCUUUGCUACUUUCGUGUAAUCGCGUGUGUCGGUUAGACCACCUGUUUUACCGUCAUCAAGACUCCAACUAUAUUGAGUAUUCAGAUUCGUGAACCUUCAUAUCUCCUAUUCGCAAUUUCAGAUUGCUUUUCAUCUUGUUCUUGCUUGUUCUUCGAUUGCUUGCAGGAACAAAGACCUUCGUGGUCAGGUUGAUCGUGCCCCCGCAGGAUCAAUAACCUUCUGGAGUUGGUGUAUCGAUCGCUAAGGCAAGAUCGGGACACCCUCGAGGCUAUCAUGUGCCCCUCCCUUCCUCUCCAGGCCGCGAUGUGCCCCUCCCCUGCCCCAUGGCGCCGCCACGACCUGCCCCUCCCCUCCUCUCCAGACCGCCGUGACCUGCCAAACGAGGACGGGGACGAACCUGUUGACGCGGGUGGUGGCGGGAGGAAGAAUCUGGGAGCGAUGGUUGCUGAUAUCAUGUGUAACUAAGUAUGUUGUCAACAGAUUCUUAGAGUAUGCGGUUCAUAUCAGAAAUGUCAAGAUGAUGAAACUUGAGGUAAUUCCUAUGAUGCGCGGCCAUGUAAAUACUUUCAUUCAGUUUUCUCAAUAGAAUGUGCUCUCCUGCCUCGCAAUUUUCAUUAUAUUUUAGAAUGUGCAGUUCUCCUUCCUCGCAUUUGAAAAUUAUAUUUUUUUUUUAUGGUUUGUUCUUCACUUUGAUAUUGUUAUUAGUCUUACAAUCGUACCUUUUACUGCCUGGUCCCCAUGCAGAGAAAUUCUACCGACUGUGCCUUGUUUACCCUUUAUAAUAUGCAGCAAUUUAUUAAGGAAGUCAAUGUUAAGUUUGAAAUGGAAGACUGCCAUCAGGUUUGUGUCUUGUGUGCUCGGUGCUCGACAGCUUUCAGAGCAUUCUUUUCUUUUAAGGCCCUCGACUGCAGCACAGCUGUAGUAUCUGAACUCACGCCCAUUACACACGCCACACGCACACCACACACACACACUACCCCUAGUGCGCAAGGUAGAACUACAAUCUAUACUUAAUAUCCGUACAAUAGAUUCCCAAAGUCACCUGACUCUGUCGGCAACGGGUACGUUGCAAUACCACUUAGUCGCAGGCGAGAUUGGGGCCAAACUAGGUGAGACGCGCGAAAUUCAGUCCCUAGGACUUGAACUCGUGCGGCCGGCCGCUCCACUGCGUGCCAAGCCACUGCGCUAAGGCGCAGUUCUCCUUUCAGAGUAUUCUUUUUUUUCCGAUGAAAGGAGCCUCACUCCCGGUUUUAUUAAAGAAACCAAAGUGUGUGACAAAAUCUUGUUUUUGGCUGCCAACCACAUGAAAAUUUAACCUUUAAAGGAAGCUGCCUGUGAGAUUCGCAGCUCACAGAGGGUUCUAUCUGCUUGUGCUUUCUGAGUCCUUGGCCUGAAUUUCGACUCCCUGAAGUCGCCUACGCAGAAAUUCAAGUUCAUUCAAAGCUCUGUCCAAGACGGUGGCACUUUGUGCAGCUCUUGGUUGCCCUGCAGCAAAAGCCUCAUCCGGGCUCGACUCCUUCGAAGUCGACACUUUUUCAGUCAUCAUACCACCAACAGGGGGAGUCGAUGUUUCUUUCUGCUUCUGCACAACAAGUGUUGUAUUAGGAAGAUUUUCAUUGGGCAACAGAAGGAUUCGAAGGCAUCAUAUCGAACAAGAGGUAUCAAGUUUCGAUUCAUAAAAAGUUUUAGAGUUCACAUUGAUAACGCUCGAACGUAUGCAAGCUUUCUGCCGAUUUGAUUUCCUUGUUACCCCGAUGCGAGCCUUCCGCUCCAGCUGCCUCCGAGGCUUCUUCAUCUGUGAGAAGAUUUGGUAAAUAUACAAGCGGAGGCAGGCUUUCUGUGCUAGCAUCAAUUGUGAUUAGACCGCGGGGAUUGCGCUGUGAUCGAGGGGAGAGAAGACCGCUAGCUCGUAGCUGGUGCUUCAUUACUCUCCGCAAGCCUGCAACGGCGGCCAUAGACGCUACUCGUUCCUCACAACGGGCAGAGGAGGCAGCUUUACCGUCUUUGUGGGACCCGCUUUGACCCGUCCCUCAAUCCUCAGCUGGAUCGAUGGCUUGGGUUGGCAGGAGGAUGGGCAGGUACACGUUAUUGAUCAUGGUGUGUUUGGUUCUUGUCCGAAGUUUGCCCUACUAAAAUUUUAGCAGCCUAUAUUAAUUUGGUCCAUGUUUUCACACAUGUUCUUUGUGGCUAGAAAACGGAAAGCCCUUAGGAUGCUGCAGCGUAACGGACGUGACCCACGGUGGUGUGGCGGUGCGCCCCUCCCCUCCUCUCCAGGCCGCGAUGUGCCCCUCCCCUGCCCCAUGGCGCCACCACGAAACCCCAUGGCGCCUCCACGACCUGCCCCUCCCCUCCUCUCCAGACCGCCACGACCUGCCAAACGAAGUACAAUGUGAUUAACCAUGUAGUCACCUACGGGCAGAGAAGGCUCGCAUAUUUGAGACCCACAAGCCGCUGCAUCCUCUAUGGAGAAACAAGAGGAAGAAGGAGAUCAGGUGACCAGUGUCGCUGGAGGACAUGAAUAUCUAUCGUCUGUUAAAAUGCCACAGAAGCUAGAACAGGGCCAACAUCUAAUAAGUUACCAACUAGAAAUUAAGGAGUUCAGCCACGACUCCAUGGUUACAACCAACGUAGUUCAACGAGAUCAUUGUUCAACCAGAUUUACUCACAACUGCUAGAUAAAAGAUGAAAAUAUUUAUUGGCGAGGGGGACUGGCAGGGACUGCAUGAAGACAAGCUUCACAAUUACUUGGCGCCGCGCGCCUUGGUGCUGUAGAGGCGCUUCAUGGCUGCCUUCUCCUCCGGUGUCUUGGGUGGAGGAAGGUGGCCCGCCUCAAUGCGCUCGUUGUACUUCCUGCGGAGGAAGACACCGUACGCAGCAUGCUUUGCCUUGAACGCAUUUGGGUUGACGGUUUGCCCGAUGUUCUUGGGGUUGGCACCGGAGUUCUCGGCGUGCAGCAUGAUUGCCAUGAAGUCGUUGGCGAGGGUGCGGGAGCAGAAGGGGCAUCGCUAGUUGGGUCCUUUCCAAUACUUGUCAUAGCGUCCCUGGUUGAGGUGCAGCAUGAUGAAGCAAGCCUUCUGGUCGAUGGACUCAUCGUCACUGAGUACAUCCUCGUCUUUGUCCUGCAGCAAACAUUUAGAGUUUUAGGGAAAAUAUACAAGGAGCGAACAUAUGAAGAUCAUGGAUUAACAUUUGCAGAUGUAGAAUAAAACAGAGCAGCCAAUCUGAUAGAGUAUGUGCAAGUUAAGCAACUUCAUAGUCACAUAAAAAAGAGAAUGUUGGUACGGAUAUCUGUGAAUAAACCAAAAAUGGUGCCUCUGUAAACAGAGUAAAGGGCGCCUGACCAUGCGCCUGAACUCCCUUGGGUGCCCCCGGAACCUGGACACACUAAACUGAAUGUGGAUGGCUCCUUCCUGGUUGAGACAGGUGAGGCUGGUACUGGUAUAGUUCUUAGAGAUGAAAGAGGAAGACCAAUCAUGGCAGCCUGUAGAUGCCUGAAAUACUGUAAUAACUAUUUAGAGGCAGAACUUGAAGCUUGUGCUGAAGGCCUGAAAUUUGCCCUGCAGCACAUGCAUCUCCCUAUUUGCCUUGAAGUGGACUGUGUGGAAGCUGUAAAACUCAUAGGGGAAAAGGACAGCUCUUGUUCAAGCUAUCGGAACCUCCUGAUGACCAUCAGAGAACUCAGCGGGGAUCGCGAGGUCACCAUUUUUUUUUUAAACAGCCAUCGACCGGAUUCCAUUAUCAGAUAAUAACGGAAUACACAGUUCACCCCCAACGAGUUUGCAAUCUUGCUGACAGAGCAGGCAAGAAACAAUGCUCAAAAAAAAAGGAUACAAAACAGGUAACAGUAAUAUAACUGACAUAACUAAAGGAGGAAAGACGAGUAAACAAAAUCUCAAGUUUGUUCCAGCAGAGAAGAGCUAGUUUUGUGGUAGCUGGUAUCUACAGCCGGGUGUUCCUUUUGCUUUGGGUGAUGUCCUUGGCCUUUCUUGUUUGAAUUAAUAACUCACUCGAGAAUAGGAUGUCGCUCGCCGUAUGCAAAAUUUCUCGCUACAAGAACGAAGCUAGCGACUUGCUUGCAAAAUUUAGUAGAAUGACUGGUACCACUAAAGUUUGGCUGGGUGAUUACCCUAGUGAUCUUGUAAAUGUGAUGAACAAAGAUUGUAAUCCCAUUAUUUAAUAUAUUACAUUUACGUUGCAAAAAAAAAGACAGAACAGUCCAGGUUUGCUCUGAUAGCCCACUAAAUGCUAGCCUCCAAAAAACUACUUUUCGUUCUAUGAACUUUAAGGUGUAUGAAGAUUCUAAAUAGAAAAAAAAUAGAUCUACUGAAAUCAAGAAGAAAACACGAAUCAAACAAAUGAAUCUCUAGCAUCCAUGCGUCACAGGAAAAAGCAAACCUCGUCGGGGGGGUCGAUUUUUCUGUGCUCGUCGUAGGGAGCAACGACAGGCGGCAGGACACACCGAGGGUACGGUGGCUCGACGGGAGGGUUGGCGAACUCCUGAGCCUGGCGCUUUUCAGUCGUAAAAUUUUCCGUCAAUUCCCUGGACAAAUCCGUAUGCUUUUUCUCCCAGUCUCUACACUGGAGCUCGGCUACACUCCUGAGGGAGUCAGCUUGAGAAAGUUGUUCUAGCAGAACAUCAGCAAAUUAAUAAGUUUCUGUUGGCAAAUCAUGGCUUACCAACAAGCUGAGGUAGGAGCACUUACCGCGCACAAUCGACAAUUCACUCCGGCAUUAUUUCAACUCCUGUUGGAGCUGGUCACGGUCAGCCUUCACUUCUUCGAGUUGAUCAAUAAUUACCAUCAUGGAACGGAUGAUCGGCUAAAAAAGGCGUUCAAGUCAUCAUUUGACUAUCACUCCCACCGGGAGGUAAAAAAACAACAACAACAACAACAAAAACACGAAACUCACGUAUUGACUCGAAGUUGAUGGCUCGGGCAUUUUGACACGUGCGCUCCCUACCUGAGGGUGAGUCAGACUUGUGGGUCGACUCCCUCCACUCUUCACGGGAGACUCCUCCCGUGUCAUUUCAGCACCAUCGCUUCAUUUACGGCUGACGGGCCCAAAUCUUUUGGGCUCGACCCCGACAAGUCGACAACCUGAGCCUCUGUUUUCUCGCCUGACUCAGCGGGGCUAUCGAGAAAAUGCGCGUCAAAAGGGCAGUCAGAACUCCUGAGCAAUGCAAACAACCUGUCAGAUUGCGUACCUGUUUCGGGCAAGUGGCGCUAGGAGGCCAUAGCGACGUGUGGGGACAUGCCUGCUCGUUCUGGCCUUCUUCGCUGCAGAUUCCGGAGUCAAAGUCCUACCUGUUAGGUCUUCAACUUCGACCGACGGGGCACACGCUGCUGAGGGAUUUUCCCCCGGUUGUGUUUCCUCUUCGACUCCAUGAUGGCGUCACCUGUUCCCGAACUAGCCACUACGGCUGUUGGUGCAAGCAUUGUGUCAACUUUACCCCCUUGUCCGACUAGGCGGGACUGGCUCGAAGCCCUUUCGAGUCCCUGCAAUAUGACAGUAUCAGAAGCACAGUUCAUCUAUGGAAGCGAUUAAAAUACCGAGUCGAAGAUGGUUACCUUUUCCCAUGCCCUGUCGGGUCCGUAAGGAGUCACUGGAGGGUCAAUGUCACAUGAAUCCUCCAUGGACAAAGUGGUGAUGCACCGGAUCCGUCGGCUCACUUCCGAUGAUUCAAGUUCUUCCGUCCCCACUCGGGUCGGGUCUUGGAUUCCUUGAUAAGCCCACAUCGGGUGAGCGCGAGCUUGCAAAGGUUGGAUCCUCCUCCUCAGAAAGAUGGCAAUAAGGUGGAUUCCUGUCACCUUUAGCAAGGGAGUCUCCAUGAGGGAGAGAACUUGAGCCAUUAAGGUUUCAGCUUCUUCUUCUUCAGCAGCUGUUUUCUUCACUGAAGAUUCAGAGAAUUCAAGAAGACUGAUAUCCUGGCCAUCAGCUGGCCCGUCCAAAACAUAGAACCAUCUCGUUCUCCAGUUCUUCUAAGGUUCUUUCUGAUGAAGAACAAAAUAUGCCACAUUUGUUUGGGGUUGGAUGUCUACAUUUCCAAAUGGGUCAUUCCCCUGGCGCUGGAUUUGGAACAUCUUCUUCCAAAGCCCCCAAUGUGGGUUCACCCCGAGAAAGCAUUCACAAAGCGUCGCAAAACACGCAAUGUGAAGGUAGGAAUUGGGAGAAAAAUUAUGGAGUUGCAAUCCGAAAGCCAGCAGCAAUCCACGAAGGAAAGAAUGAACCGGGAAAGCAAGCCCCCGAAGAAUAAAGUCAAGGAACACAACCCGUUCCCCGAGCAAAGGGCGAGGAUUUACCUCUUCAUCGGGGAAACGGACGCGUCCAGGCUCUACUGACAGAAGGCCUUCGUCUUGCAUAACGGCGACCAUCUCGCGUUCAAUCGCCGAUACUGGCUAGGCGGAUGGGGUAUGGCGAGAGCCUGCCCUGGAAACAGUUGCGGUUUUCUUACUCUUCCCCAUUUUACUGGGUCGAAAGAGAUUUCUUGCUAUGGAAGGUUAAGUUUUUCUAGCUAUUGGCACGGGGAAGAAGAAGGGUGAAACUUUUUUUUAGAUCUGGGUGAAACUGAUCCGGCCCUUUUUCAAAAUCUCUUCCUUUCUCCAGCGGCUCUCCCCCUUCCGCGACUCCCCUAUUUUCAUCUUCGGUUAUGCCCCGUCAAGAUCCUAGCCCGGCCCAUUCGCUCCCGAUCCCUAUGGUUCCAUUGGGAUAAAAAAACUCGAGGUCCGACUCGUGGAAAUAGGCGAGCAGACAUGUGGAGCCGCUGGUCCAGCGCGCGCACCACUCCGAGACGCUGGCCAGGGCGGCCGGCGACGUGUGCAGCAACGGCGGGGCAACCGCAGCGGCUAGCUCCCCUUCCCUUCCUCCCUGUCGUCUCUUUUCUCCCACAAUCAAGCAGCGAUGGCGCGCGGGGCAGCAAGCUUCGUCGCGAGGGGCUGCAGGGGCGGCAUCAGGCUGCCCAGCAAGUCACGCGACGCUUCCUGUACUCAAGCAUGGCUUCGUUUGUAAGGCAAUAACUGUCCUGAACUAGAAAACCCUAGCUCGCAGAUCCGGCCUCCGAACGCCGCCACCCUUCCCCGGCUCCAGCGCCCACGAGCAGCUCACGCUCCCUCUCUCUUCCCCCCCCUCCCCACGCGAGCGACGCCCGGCUUCCAUCCAUCUCCCCCGCAAUGCAAGCGAGGUUCGGCAAUGCCGCCGACGGCUGGGCUUGGGCGGAUGGAUGCCGCCGUACACCACUUCACCCCGAUGGGCUACAAGAAGACCCUAGUCCGCAGCGUCGUCAACUCCUCAAGGUUCCCCUCUCCCUUGCUCCCUUUUCUGCUUCUUCACGUGAAGUGGUCUAUGGCGGCGUCCAUCCGCCCAAGCCCAGCCAUCGGUGGCAUUGCAAAACCUCGCUUGUGUUGCGGGGGAGAUGGAUGGAAACCGGGCGUCACGCGUGGGGGCAGGGGGGGACGCUAGAUUUGUUUUGGACAUGCCAUAGGAACUAUUUCCAUUGAAAAGGUCUGAUUCUGCUAUCAAAACCAUUCUUUUGUGCCUUAUGGGCUACCAUGCUUCCAUAUGUCCACCAGCCCUCAAAGUUAAUUUUGAUCUUCCAGGAGGUUCUGACCUUACUUUUAAAAAAAAAGAGUUAAUUUCUAUCUCACUUAGAAGAAUCGCGUCGUCGCCUCCCUGCCGGAGUGCCGGUAACAUUCAUCCUCUUCCCCGCACCCACGUUGUGUUUUCCCUGCGUGGUCCGUAGCAUCGGCUUCUGGUUGGGAACGGGUUGCGCCUUGUAUCUGGGGGAUUCCUUUUUUCUUCUUCUCCUUCUUUCGGUUUGUUUGAUCAAAGGAGGCGAGAGGGGGACAGGGAUGCUUGUGGAUUGCUCGGGGAGCUGGGGUUUCCGCUCGUUGUCCUUGAUGGCUCCAUUGGCAAUAGUUGAGGAAUGAGGAAAGGGGCAGAUCGGGCUGCCAGGCCGGGAAUGAGAUGGGCUGCUUGGGGAAUGAAGGAAGUGGCAGAGUGGGCAGCCAGGCCGGGAAUGAGAUGGCCUUCUUCUAUCUGGUGGGGUGGCUAUCGGGCCGGCCUGGUCCAGCACCGGCCUGGCUCAUGUUAAGGCCCAUCCCGUUGGCCAUCUAUAUUUGCGGGUCGAUGCCGGCCGCAACUCAGCUAGUCACCUGAUCUCCCCUAAAAAAAAAGCUAGUCACCUGAUCUAGGGUUCUAGCCUUAAUCGCCGAUGGGGGGAAGCGUUUCGCCGCUGGACGGGACGGGGUCGCCGGUGAUGGUGGGAGGGAGCCGGUCGCCGCUGCACUUCACGGGGUCACCUGGAGCGCCCGUCCAGCCUCGGUCGUCAUCGCUGGAGGAGAGCCAGUCACAUCGUCACCUGGAUCUAGGUUUCCAGCCGUGGUCGCCGCUGGAAGGGAGGCUGUCGCCUGGGGUGCCCUUCCAGCCUUGGUCGUCGCCGCUGGAGGAGAGCCAGUCACGUCGUCGCCUGGAUCUAGAUUUCCAGCCGCGGUCGCCGCUGGACGGGAGGCUAUCGCGCGGGGCGCCCUUCCAGCCGCUGUCCUCUUCGUCACGGAACCUUUCUCAGCCGUCGCCGAUACGGUACCGUGAGGGUCCAUUGGAUUACGUGCCCCACGUGUAUUGCAAGUGUAUCCCGAAAGCGAAGGCCGGACGAUUUAUUUCGUGGAGUGAGUACCCGGGGAGGAGGUACUACAGUUGCAUGAAAAAGCGAGUAAGUUUUUUGUUAUUUGAUCUUUGUGGAUUCCAUUCAAAUUUUGUUCCUUAUUUUUGUAUAAUCUGCUCAUAUUUUUGUUUGCAUUUAGACUGACCCUCAGAGCUACAGUCAUUUCCUUGGAUGGCAUGAUGAGGCUUUCCCUCAAUAUGUCACCAAUCUGAUUGGGGACUUGCGAGACAGGGUGGAUGAACUGACGUCGCAGGUUGAUGAAUAUGAAGCGAAGCAUGAAAGAAUUCAGGGCCAGUUGGAAGUUAUGAUGGAUAUGUUGGAGGGUGUGCAAUUGAAGUGAAAGUCCAGUGUUGUUCAUGCUGGACGGUCUGAAGUCGACUGGUGUUCUUUUUGGUACUCGAAUUAUUCAUGAAGUUGAAGGUCUAGUAGUGUCAUUUUGUUUUAAAAACAUGAACUUAAGUACUUGAAUGAACUUCGAGUAGUGUUCUUUUGGUACUCGAAUUGUUCAUGAAGUUGAAUGUCCAGUACUGUCAUUUUGGAUAUGUUGCAGGGUGUGCAAUUGAUGAGGUUGUUUGUACUCCCUUCGUCCCAUAAAAAUUGGCACGGAUUUGAAGUAGAGCUAGUUAGUACCAAAUUGUUGCUGAUGCUUGUGGAGUAACAGAAUUAGGAGAUAGUUAGUACCGACUUUGUAACUUUCUAAGUCGAUCUGUUCAGUUGAAGGUAUGUUCUGUAUUCAGCUUGUUACCUUGCAAGUCAAUUGCGAGCAGGGCUAUCUAGAAAUCCUGUCAGUCACUAGCUAGUAUGGUCUUUAUGGUUUGUCCAACUGUAAUUUCAUUUUGUUGUGCAGUUGUUAGCAUGAAGUAAUUUGCCACUACGCAUUAGGUUAGAUGCAGCUUGAAAGAGUAUUAAUUAAUUACCACUGGCUAAACAGUUCAGUAGUCUCUACUUAGCGCCGUAGUCUCUGGUUAACAAACUUCAUGUGGUUCCCAAGUGGCCAGAUACAUGACCUGCUGCAUAGACUCACAUUUUAAGGUGUGCACGAGUUUUUUUAGAGAAAAACGAAUGCACACUACCGAACUUAAUAUACUGUGCAGUUGCCCACAAACACUUCCUGAGCAGUGCAAAAUGCUAGAUUCUAUACACUUCCUAGGAGAGAAAUACAAAAUGCUAGAACCCAUACAUGCCUGUAAACCACGCCCUUCAAAUGCACGACGUGCUGCUGUCAAAGAACUUUGCUGUGCUGUCGAAGAACCUGGUGCUGCUCCUUUUGGUGAUGAAGAACCUGCUGCUGAUGAUGAACCUGCUGAUGAUGAUGAAGAACAGGAACCUGAGGAGGUCGAAGUGGUUUUAUGUCCGAGUCGACUCGCCGGAUGCCGACCCGAGUCUUCCUCCCUUCGCCGUUAUGAACUCAGUGAAGAAGACGGCGGCAUGGAAACAUGAGUUGACUUCCGCGGAGGAGUCGCACGCGAAGUCACUGUUGGCUCGGGUUCACACGCUUAUGGAUAAUGGCCUGAGAGGUGUUCAUAUGAUUGCCACGUUCCUGAGGAGAAGGAUCCAGCCGUUGCAGGCUCGCGAUCACCCGAUGUGGUCCUCUCAGAUACUCGAGGACUCGACUCGGGUGAACGCUGAGGACUUGACUCCACAAGAUGUGGAGAUGCGACUGCGCAAGCUUACAAGCUUGAACGCCGCGGCACCAUGCGAGAUCGACUCGCCAGUGGUCCCAUAUGGACCUGAGAGGCCAAGGGAGGAGGUAAAUCUUUCGACUCCCUGUUUUUGAUUUCUUUGUAAUAUGAUUUUGCUAAUGUUUUGAUGACCGCACGGACUCGAAGAUCUUUUGAGUCAACCUCCACCUGCCGGAGAAGAAGAUCCUGCAGAUGAAAUUUCGGAGUCACCAGCUCAGGUGGCUGACUCCGACGUUGAGGAUGCUGAUGUAGAGCUGCGGAGAAAACGCAGCCGAGAGGCGGACUCCUCAAAGGCUCGCGAUUCUCGAGCAGAAGGUCUAUCUGACUCCUCAAAGGCUCCCAUGACAGAAGAAGCCCAAGCUGCGAGUGUCAGCCCCUCAGCGUAGUUAUGGUGUCCUUGCCCAGGUCAACCGAAGCAGGUAUACCACUUGUAGUACAUCGCGACGGCUUGAGUACUCGUUGAUUUCUUCUAAUGUUAACACUUCUGGCAGCUCAACCGUUUCAGGCGAGCCGACGGAGUCGACCCCGAAAUUGCCGGACCCGACUGAUGUAGACAAGCCAUCUAGAGAUAAGGAAAUUGCUCCAGAGAUACCCCUCUCGACGAGCGAAGGGAGUCGACCAUCCGAGCCGGCUCAACUUCAUACUCGAGUCGAAGGUGCUAGUGUUGAAGCAUCUCCACCUCGAACGACGUCCUCUGGCUAUCAUGUAAGUUACUGUCUUCUUUGAGAUUUUCGCCUUCCGGUGGGAGUAGUAGUCAGUAGAUGACUCGAAAAGUUUCUGCAGCCGAUCAUUCACUCCAUAAUGAAGUAUGUCGGUGAGUUCGAGGACAUGAAGGCUGAAUGCCACCGGCUCCGCAAAGAGUUGGAGAAGUGUCAGCAAGAUUUGACGGCCGCACACAGUUUGCUAUGAGUCGCAUAUUUGAAGGUUCGAGUGCUCAUUAUUUCUGCCGCAGACCAAACCUCUCAGGCCAACUCCCUCAAGGACGCUGCUGAACUCCAGUGUAAGAACUGGGAGAAAAAACAGGCGGACUUGGCUCAGGAGUCGGCAGACAAGUUGGCGGCCAAGAAACGCCGUGCCCAAGAAGCUUUGGAUGCCCGCCUCUCCAAGGAGACGGAGGCAGAGAGGCGGCAGGUCGAGCGACUUAAUGAAGCCGCGCGUUCUUUCGCUGGUAAGCUUUCAAGCUGUUUGAGUGACUUAGCUUUUGUCUUCUAGUCAACUGAAAAAUGUCAAAAACCAUUGACAAAUUCAAAGUUUGCUCUGAAUUUGACAUUUUUGCAUGACCUCAAAUUUAGUGUAAAGAUGACCAGCUGCAGAAAUUUAGCGGCUGCUUCUUAGCCAUUCAUGUUAGCUGUUUUGCUCUAGCAGUGAGAUUCAGUGACUGUGGGGGUUGCCCUGUUUUUUUCUACAAUGAAGCCGUUCUAAAAUGGUAAAGGUCCACAGAGAUUUGGCUGCAUUACUGGAAGAGGAGAUGUCUCGCAGGGGAUCUUCGCUGGUGCCAUCUGGUGAACAAUUUGGGAAAUGGAAAUGAUUGAGAGAAAGCAGUUAUCGUAAGCAACAUCGGAGAGUGCAGGCUCCUUGACAGCCCGUCCAAGGGCUUCACUUCCCCAUCUGGGAGGGCGUUGAUUCCGCUUCGGGGAAUUCAGAAACAGGUCCUCCUCGGUCGUCCACUCUUUCUUCGACGGCAGAUUGCUCCCACUUCCACCAUUCUCGAUCUCCUACGCGCCAAAGAUAAGAUACAGGAGACGGGGUCCUGUGAAACGAACCUAUCCCUCGUGCUUUCACAAGAGCCUAUUGCGGGAUUCGAGCAGGAGAAAUUGUUCGAUCGUAUAUUUACUCUUCUUCCAGUCUUGUCUUGGACACUCUAGGAUGUGUUCUUGAUAUUUGUCUCCUUGGCGCCGAGGAGCUCCUGCGCCCGGCGCGUCUCCACGUCGGCGGCCUCCUGCGACUCGGAAAUCAGGCUGGAAUCCGACGAUUUGGAAGAAUGGUGCGAAUGGUGGGGCGUGGGAUGGAGCUCCUGCGGCCAGCGUGUCUCCGCAUCGGACAUGACUCCAAUUGAUAUGCAUAAUACUAUCUAAGGAAGACAUGUAAACAAGCUAGCAACUUAGUUUAUACAUGGUGUUACAUAAAGAAAAAUAAAAUCGGCCCAGGAAGGGGAAACGGAAAGAAGGGAAAAGCACGUCGGCCCUCAAAUUUUAAGCAAACUUUGAAUUGCCGUAAAAAAUUCAAAGAAAAAUAAAAAAAAUCGGGUAGGUAUAAUACUGGGAGAUUGUGUAGCUGGAUCUUUUUGUGUUGAUUUUUAUAAUGGGAAUCAUCAGAUUGAGAGGCUUGAAAUCCAUACCCUGUCGCACGAACAACGAAAAUUCAUUUCACAGCAAGUUCGAAGAACAGCAGGGCACAACCCUGUUUCAGAGCGCAAAAAUAUAAGAAAACCCACCUCCCACUCGCCAGGGUAACUAACGUCGUCGGAUUCCUCGCUAUCUGGCCAAGAAAUCCCCAUCUCGUUUCUAGAUCGAGCCUCAGAACUAACCCUAGCAGCAUACUCUUAUUACCAGGCCAUAUUCGUGGUGGCGCCAUGGGGCAGGGGAGGGGCACAUGGCGGCCUGGAGAGGAAGGGAGGGGCGCACCGCCACACCGCCGCGGGUCACGUCCGUUACGCUGCAGAUAUAUAUGUAUAGGGAAAUAACAUUCCAGGUCCAUGAACUUGGCAGCGAUGUUCAGUUUCAUCCAUUCACUUGAAAACUGUUCAAAUGACUCACUGAACUUGGCAGCUUUGUUCAUUUUAGUCCAAAUGACCAAAAUCAGGUGAAAUUCGGCCAUGCUGGCAUGUGUCGUGGACCUGACCGAUGUGGGAGGGCCUUUACAACUUUCUGGUUAUGGACAUUCUCUGUUUACCCCCCCCCUCCCCCCAAACCUCCUCUAGAAUGGGGAGACGCUCCCCUCGCUGGUGAACCCAAUUUGGGCCGGUAUACGCGGCGUCCACGCGAAUGGUUCCGUCGAUGGGUUCUGCGGCAGCUACUCGAACAGCCAGAUCCACGUCACAUGCCAUCAUGACCGAAUUUCACCCUAAUCUGACCAUUUGGACUAAAAUGGGCAAAGCUAUCAAGUUUAAUGAGUCAUUUGAGGAGUUUUCAAGUUAAUGGAUGAAACUGAAUAUCAUUGUCAAGUUCAUGAACCCGCAGUGUAAUUUCCUCUGUAUGUACUGUGUGUGUGCUGCCGGUCUAAACAAAACAAAUCGAAUCGAGCAACCAAUUAAUUCUUAUCCACUUCCAAAGAUGUUGUUGUCUUCGUGCCUGGGAAGCGUGGUGUUGGUCGGAGCAUCAGCCUUGGCCACCGCCGCUUUGACCUGGUCCGUGUGGACGCUCCUGGAGGAAUACCUCCACGCACGCCGUGCCUCCUCCAAAAACCCCUUGCCGGGCGGCAUCCUCAAGGCCUUGGACGCCGGCGCCCUGGACCCGGUCAUCGGCCGCGACGCCGAGAUCGACCGCGUCGUGUGCAUCCUCUGCCGCCGGACCAAGAACUGCGCCGCGCUCGUGGGCGCCACCGGGGUCGGCAAGACGGCCAUAGUCGAGGGCCUCGCGCAGCGCAUCGUGGCCGGGGACGUCCUCGGCGCGCUCACCGGGGCGCGCAUCGUGCAGCUCGACAUGGGAGCCAUGGUCGCCGGGACACGCCUGCGCGGCAUGUUUGAGCAGCGGUUCAAGGAAGCCAUUAGGACGGCGGAGGAGUCGGACGGCAAGAUCAUCCUGUUUGUCGACGAGAUGCACGUGCUGGUCGGCGACGGGGACACCCGGGACGGCACCGGCGACGCGGCCAACAUGCUCAAGCCGGCAUUGGCCCGUGGCCGCAUCCGUUGCGUCGGCGCUACCACGACCGGAGAGUACCGCUGGUACAUCGAGCCGGACGCCGUGCUCGAGCGCCGGUUCCAGAAGGUGGCCGUCGAGCAGCCGAGCGUCGAGGCCACCAUUGCCAUCCUGCGAGGGCUCAAGUAGCGGUACCAGGAUCACCAUGGGCUCAGGAUCCAGGACGACGCGUUUGUCGUUGCUGCACAGCUCGCUGGCCGCUAUAUUUUCGGUAUGUUAAAUCCAAGAAUUUAAUCUAAUCGUAUGUGGAUUAGUGCAGUGCAAGCGUCGAUGAUUAUUCGCAAGACAAUUAAUUGGUGCAACUUUUUUCAAAAAUCGAUAUUGCGAGGUCACCAGUUUCCUGAUAAGUCAAUUGAUCUUAUUGACGAGGCAUGCGCUACGACAAAGAUGCAAGCAGACAAGUGAAAAAUGGCCAAUGCAGCCCUAUGAUCACUGCACCAAAAGAAGGAGCUAACUGUUGGCCCGAGCCAUGUCGCACAGUUAAAUAUUACUAGUAAUUCCUGAUCAUCUUAUUUCUAUUGUUUUCGUGCGAUUUGUUUAUAAUAUUGUCCAAAUUAUUAAGGUGAGCCGAUGGACUAGAAUCCCUCUCACUACACUUGAUCAAGAGGACAAGGAGAAGCUGACUCACCUAGCGAAAAAAUUGCACGACCGGGUUGUUGGCCAAGAUGAGACGGGUCGUUAAACCCUAGCAGCAGCGUCGGCGGCGGCUACACUGUGUUCUUUUUUUUUUUGAAGGCAUAGUGUGUUCUUUCUGAGCUGCUUUCGACUUUGAAUCGGCAAAGAACGUACCUACUCGUUCAGUUUCUUUUUUUUUACGAAACGGGAGCAGCGCUGCAUUUCAUUGAUUAAGAUAGAACAAAAGAGUUAUUUACAACUCCAAGAAGGAGAGAGAACAAAAACAAAAAACAAAAAACAGCCUAGGAAAGAACUUUGGGAGGGCGAACCCUACGUUCGGUUUCUUAAUAUCUGUACAUGAUUGUUCGAGUAAAGUUCAUUUUAAAAGUUCAUUUUAAACCUUGUGCUUGUAGAGGUCGACCACAUCAAACCCUGAACUGCAAAUCCCUGAAGUCGGCACCCCCAACUCUUCAAUACCGGUCAUUAGUUGCCAAAACAGUGUAUCCAAAAACGUAGCACCAAUUGGGUCCCACUAUUAGUCCAACGUGCCCUGAGUAGCCAAACAUGUCAACCACUACAAGCACUCUUUUUUUUUUUGCAUUAGAGGAGGAGUUGCAUCAAAAUCAACUAUGCCCCUGCCUGAUAUGGGUGACCACUGACCACGAACAUCAAGCCUUACUUCCUGUCGACUACGUGCUCAAGGCCAGCCUGUCCGAUAUGGCCGGCCAUGGGCAUUGGGCAACCAGGUGUUCACCGACGAACAGCGAGGCGCUCAAGGCCAGCCUCGUCCCGGCCAUGUGCAACCUGCACGCGGCGCUGGCCCAGUCAGCAUGGAUGACUACGUGCACCGGCCAGCAGCUCGUCCGUCGGCGGCCAUGGCUAGCCUUCUUGGAGGAGGUACCGUUCGAGCUCGUCGCUGUGGAUGCUCCCGGCCGCCUCAUAGGCUACGGCAGCGGCGAACCGGAUAAUCAACGCCAGCACGGCGGCCUUUCCCCUUUUCGCCGGUCUGAUUUGCCCGGGGUUCGCAUGCCCAGAAUAUACAUCUACUGGUCCAAAGGAGGAAGAAGCUGUGGGACCCACCAAUAAAAUUUGAUGAACAGGGAAUAUGGAUGGAGCAUAGAUGAGAAGUAGUCAAAGCCGCGUUUGUAUUGAAAGGCCCGUGCGGGACCCACCCUGUACAUGUGGCUUGCUUUAGUCAAAGAUCCUAGCCACAUCAGCAAUCCUAGUCUGUGAUACCCUUAUUUGCAACUAAUGAUCAGGAUUGAAGAGUUGACGGUGCCAACUUCAGGGAUUUGCAGGUCAGGGUUUGAUGUGAUCGACCUCUACAAGCAGAUGGUUCAAAAUGGACUUUACUCUUGUUCUAAUUAAUUCAAACUUUCUCAGCUUCCACCGAUUUCGUAGAAAAAGGUAUCUGCAUACGUAAAACAAAACAAAAGCAAUCUAGUCCUAGCGGUAAUAGAUUAGAUACUGGUAAAAAAAGGGUAAUAGAUUAGAUUUUGUGUUGUGUACAUUUGUUUGUUUUUGCCAAAACUUGCGACCGUUGUCAAGUUGACAAAUUUUGACUUGGGAUAAAGAUAUUUCGAAACAAAGCAAUUUCUCCAAAUCUGCCCCGGUUGUAUGCUGUUGUUAGGAAGUAGCGAGGCCCACACGUCAUUCAGCCAGCUAAGGGCAUUUUCAACAAGUUGAUACUAGAGCUGAUACUAAGAGGAGAGAGAAAAGCCAACCUCAUGCUAAGUAACAGCUGCUACAACAGUUCGUUUAUUUGUCUUGUUACUAAGAUCUAAAAUACUAUUUAAAUGUUGCAUGUGAGAGUAACUUGUGAGGAUCUACAAUGAACUAUAACUUUGUAGCCUAUACAUGUAUCUCUUGUAUAUUAACAAGUAGUCUAUAAUCAGCAAAAACAUAAACAAUACAUUAAUUAUUGCUGCAAAUCGGACAUCAUAAUAUACGGCCACGUACUAUAAACGAACUGAGAUUCAGGACGAUGCUCUUGUUGCUGCCACACACCUCGCUGACCGCUAUAUUACCGGCAUUUACUGAUGCUCUCUGUUGCUCCGUUUUAUUUUUAAUUAACAAAAAAUUUUAGCAAGAACAUGUGUGCUCCUUGUUUUUUUUUUACUUUGAAUUUUGGAAAAAUCUAGUGGUAAUUGUGCAGCUGUAUGCAAGAAAUAUGCUACUAAUUGUAUUGGAAUUGAGUACUCUAUAAUUUUUAAAUUUAGGAAAGAUUAGAAUAGAUAUGGAAAUUAAGUGGAUGAUUUUUUUGUUUUGUUAGCUCCCCAAUUUCCGGACAAGGCAAUUGAUCUGAUUGACGAGGCAUGCGCCGGCGUCAAGUUGCAUGUCGAAAAACAAAAACAAGUCGAAGAUGAAGAAAACAGCAGCUCUAUCAAUGCACCCAAGGCGGGAAUUGUUACCACAGGUCAUGUUGCGCACGUAACUAACCGUUCCCACUACUACAAAACGGUCUAUAUGCCACGCAACAUCAGUAACGAGUCCAGCGUGACCGUUACUAAUAAAGAACAUCAGUGUCAGUCGCGGCCACGACCGUUACUGAUGAACCGAGCGGGCACCGUCCGUCCCCGCCCAGCCACACAUCAGUGGCGGUCGCGCGACACGACCGCCACUGAUGAACACUCAUAGCUCGCGAGUUACAUCAGUGGCGGUCGUUUAAGCGGCGACCGUUACUGAUGAACCAGGCAUCAGUAACGGUCGGACCAGCUCGACCGUUACUGAUGUGUACACGAUUAUCAGUAACGGUCGAGGAAACCUCGACCAACACUAAUGUUACUCGCGUAUUAAGUACGCUGUGCGGAGCCGCAGCUGGUCGCGCCGCGCGUCGUGACGGACCAGCUGCGGCCCCUUCCUCUCCGGCGACGGCGUGGUGCCGCCCGACCGCGCCAUGGCCUCGGCGACCACCCCAGGUACGCCCUCCUCCCUCCCCCCCGCGCUGGCGGCGCCGCCCCAUGGCCGGCGAGCAGCCAUGGCCGCCGAGCUCCAUUUUUGGAGCUCCGGCGGCCGGCGCGCUCCGAUCUUCGAGCCCUAAGCUUCCCUCUCCCUCCCGAUGUCUCUCUCCUCCCGAUCUCUCUCGCUGGCCUCAAUUUCUCUCCGAAUUUUCCCAAUAUAAAAUUUUUGAGCUCCACGGCCGCCGGCCAAAAUGCGGCGUCCUCUUCGUCGCCCGGAGCUUCCCUCUCGCUUGCGUGCUCUCUCUCCCUCCUGAUCUUUCUCGCCGGCCUCCAAUUUCUCUCCGAAUGUCUCUAAUUUCAAAAUUUUAGUUAGCUCCGGUUAAUUAGCAGAUUAAUCUCCUUGUCAAUGAUUAGGCUAACUAUUUUGCUUUUUUGUUUUUUUGUGUAUUGUGUUGUAGAUCGAAGGAUCGUUCUUGGAUGUGCGCGAAGGAAAGAAUCAAUGCUCGAUGGAUAACCGAAUGGACGGUCUUUUUUGGAGUCGCGAAAGGUGAUAUGGAACGAAAAGGACUUUUGAUGAUGCGUUGCCCAUGUCGCAAAUGUGGAAACACAUGCAUAAUGAAGCCUGAAGAUGUUCAGAUGCACGUGCUGGCAUCGGGUUUUGUCGAUGGUUAUUCUCGCUGGACUUGUCACGGGGAGGAUGCAGUUGAUGUCGGUAGCGGUAGCGAAGAUGAUGAUGUCCUGCGGUAUGAUCUGGCGAAUGAGUCCGAGGAAGAAACAAGGGUCGAUGAGGAGGCUAAUGUGAAAGGUGAAGUAGCUCCAUGUGGCAGGAUUGCCGAAAUGCUAGAUGACCUGUACCUACGGGACCAGCUGGAGGACCCCGAAGAUGAGGCAGAGUCUGCUCAGUUCAAAAAAUUGUUGGAGGACACAAACACACCCUUGUAUGAUGGAGCUGGCGAAGAAAACAACGUGCUCGAAGUGAUGCUCGAACUUUUGAGGCUGAAGGCAGCAUCAUGCUAGUCAGACAAGGGCUUCACGGGCUUGUUAAGUUACCUUGCUUCAGUUUUUCCACAGCCAAAUAAGUUGCCCGAGAGCACAUACGAGGCGAAGAAGAUUACGUGCCCGCUCGGAUUGGAUUGCGUGAAACAUCAUUCAUGUCCAAACGACUGUAUGGUAUACAUUGGAGAGUACGAGAACCAUGAGAGCUGCCACAUAUGCGGUGCAUCGAGAUACAAGAAGAAAAACGCCAGAGCUGGCGAAGACGAUGGGGAAGAAGUGAUGAAGGGCAGGCCGGCAAAGACUGUCUGGUAUCUUACGACAGGUGGCUGAGUUGACGUUGGAUGCAGAAUGUUAAGGAUGCGAGGUAUCUCGUCUAUCACGAUCCGGCGCAAGCUGCAUUCGAUCCUGACAGGCACUACCGUGUGGAGAAGGCUGGGGUCCUAAGACACCCUGCCGAUGGGACUCAGUGGAGGAAUUUGGACACGGCAUUUCUAGAUUUUGGGGCAGAGCCCAGAAACCUAAGGCUCGGUCUCAGCACUGACGGGAUAAAUUCUUUCGGAAACAUGAACAACAAGCACAGCACAUGGCCAGUGAUCUUGUUUGUCUACAACCUUCCUCUAUGGUUAAUCAUGAAGAGAAAGUACAUCCACAUGUGCAUGCUCAUACAGGGUCCAAAGCAGCCGGGAGCUGACCUGAAUGUGUAUCUGCAGCUAGUGAAGGAUGAGCUGAAGCAGCUUUGGAAUCCUGGCAGAGUGGUUUGGGACGCAAACAAGAGGGAGUACUUCAUGAUUAGAGCAGCGCUUCUGACGUGCGUGCAUGACUACCCCGCGAAUGGAAAUACUUCAUGCCAGGUGACACAUGGCUACAAGGCCUGUACAAAGUGCGGGGAAAACACGCCAUCGGAGAAGUUGCCCGCUUCAUCCAAAAUUGUGUACAUGGGCCACCGAAAGUGGUUGGAUGCUAAAGACCCUUUGAGGGAUGACAAGGAAAGGUUCAAUGGGAAGACGAAGCACGGGACAGCGCCGAAGGAGAAGUCUGGUAUGCAAAUCCUCGGAAUUGUGAACGAUUUUGAGGUUGUCUCCGGAAAGAUUGCUGCGAAGAAAUAUAAGGAACCUGAAGGCAUCGUGUGGAAAAGGAGGUCCGUAUUCUGGGACCUGGAGUACUGGGCACAUUUAGAAUGCCGCCACAGCAUAGAUGUCAUGCACGUGGAGAAAAAUGUAUGCGACAACGUGCUGGGGUUGCUGAUGAACAUUCCAGAGAAGACGAAAGAUGGACCCAACGCACGGAAGGACCUGGAACUCAUGUUUAUCAGGAAAGAGUUGUGGGGCAAAGAUCAAGUGUCGGCGGCCGACAAGAAUGGUUUCGUGACGGUGACCACGCGGUGUCGUCUUGCAUGUUACAACCCGUACAAAGACGAGUUGCAUAGGAUGUGCCAGUGCCUGCAGGGCAUUAAAGUCCUAUCGAACUACUCGUCGAGCAUCAAGCAUCUAGUUGACAUGAAGAGUCACAAGCUAUCUGGCAUGAAGUCCCACGACAACCAUGUCAUACUCACUCAGUUACUUCCAGUCGCAAUCAGAGGUAUCAUGGAGCCGCACGUAAGGGAGACAAUCAUGAAGCUUUCUUUGACAGCAUCUCGCAGAAGUCAAUCACCGUUAGACGUGCCAGAUACUGAAAGAUAGUAUGAUACAGAUUCUGUGAGCUCGAGAUGUUCUUCCCUCCAUCAUUCUUCGAUAUCAUGGUCCAUCUAAUGAUCCACAUAUGCGAUGAGAUCCUGUCCCUAGGGCCCUCGUUCCUGCAUAACAUGUAUGGCCCUGAACGAUACAACGGGAUUCUAAAGCGGUACGUUCGUAACAGAUCGCGUCCGGAAGGUAGCAUCGUGAAAGGCUUUAGGGCAGAAGAGUGCAUCGAGUUCUGCACGGAUUGGUUGGCCGAUCAGAAAUCAAUAGGUGUUGCCGAAUCACGGCACAAGGGCAAGCUCGUUGGCGAAUGUGGCCUUGGACAGACAUACCUUAAUGUCUAUGGAAGAGGAAGGGAAGCAGACUUUGAAAGAGCACAUUUGGUUGUGUUGCAAACUGUCGAUUGCUGCCGGUCUUAUCAGGAAAUCCACAUGGAACAACUGCGAAAUAAAAACCCUAAAAGAUGAGAAGUCUGGAUCCACUAGGAGCACAAUAAAACAUUCGCAGCGUGGCUGAAGAAUUAUUGGUACGGCAGGGAGACGACCAAUCUAUCAGAAGAGACGGUUGCAUGUUUGUCACGGAAACCUGCUUACCACGUCUCUACUUGGCAAUCAUAUGCAAUCAUCGGCUAUAACUUCUACACUGCGUCUCAGGACCGUAAAAGCACGUAUCAAAAUAGUGGUGUAGUCAUGACUUCUGAGACCGCGACCGACGACAACAGCAAAACCAAAGUGUUCUUCGGUGUUAUCGAGGAGAUCUGGAAAUUGGAGUACUCGAUCACAAAGAUCUCAAUGUUCCGUGUAAGAUGGACCAAAGGUGAAAAAGAAGAAAGUCACAGGUUCACGACGAUGGUGCUACCUCCUGAGAUCCCUCGUGAACAAGUUGACGUGAGAAAAAUUCCGGCAAGAGAGGAACCAUGGGUCUUUGCUAAACAAUGCAAGCAGGUAUUCUACAUAAACGACCCGGCAAAUAAAGGCCGCGUCGUAGUAAGAAGAGGGAAAAGAAGCAUUGUUGGAGUGGACGGAGUUACUUCACAAGAAGACUACGAAGGUUUCCAUGAUCCGACAACCGCCGCAGAUGAUGACGAAGCAGAACGCAUGAUAUUAACGAGGAAAAGAAGAUGUGAUGGGAGCGAGAGCGAAAAAAUACCACAAAAACCCUACCUCAGAAGCAGUUCUGAGAGGAGUCAAGUUAUGACUUACCGAAGGAAGGAGAAGCACUAGUAGUCACAUUGUAAAAAUGUACUCGUACUGAAUCUUAAUGCAAACUUUGUACUAAGUGAAAUUAUGUGUGAAAUUUGUUUGCAUGUGAUGAAUUUUUUGAAAUUUGUAUGCAUGUGAUGAAAUUAUGUGUGAAAUUUGUACUAGAAAAAUGCAUGAAUUGAUUCCUCAAACAUAAUUUCAAAUGCAUGAAUGAAUUGAUUCCUUAAACAUAGUUUCUAAUGCAUGGAUUGAUUCCUCAAACAUCAGUAACGGUCAACUACUGUCCAUCAGUAACGGUCGGUCGCUCUGCCGUCCGUUGCUAAUGUGAGCACAUCAGUAACGGUUGCGGAGCCUCCCGCCCGUUACUGAUGUGUGGGUGAUCAUCAGUAACGGUCGCGAGAUUACGCGACCGCCACUGAGGUGCUUCAGCAUAUAAAAGCGAGCGGCCGAAACCCUAGCCCUUUACUUCUCGCCUGCGCGUCGCUUUCCUCUAGCAGACCAGUAGUGGGCGCUCCUCCUCCCCGGGCGAGGCCCUGCCGGAUUUCCGCGCCGCCACCGCCGUCAACCUCCUCUGCGCCAAGCCCGACGCCGCCGUCAACCCCGCCUCCGCGCCGGACGCCUCCUCCCCCGAGCCCUCCUCCUCCGCGCCGAGCCCGAGCCCGCUGCCGCCGCCCCCGACGCCAUCCUCCUCCUCCUAUGCCUAGGUGCGCGCUCCUCUGCCUCCCUCUCCUCUGAUUUCCUAGUGCUAACCCUAAUUUGAUUUAGGUUAGUGUUAGAGUUAGAGUAAUUUAGGAUUAGUGUUAGCAAAUUAGUUGCUGUUGUUAGGGUUAGGGUUAGCCCUAGGAAAUUACAUGCUGGGAUAUACAUGUUAUCUUAUGAUUCGGUUGCUAUAUAAGUUGGGAUAUACAUGCUGGGAUAUAGAUGCUAUUUUAUGUGGGCCCGACCAUCGUGUCGGGUCAUUGGAGAAGGGGCCGGCAAUCGUGCCGAGGGGGUACAUAUGCGGGUGGGUUUUUUAUGCAGGUUUCGAACUCCUAGUAGAGAAAAUUUGCUAGUUUUUUAGCAUAGGUCAUGCCGAAAUUUUUGGCCGAUAUAUAUUUGAUGGUUUUGAUGGCAUAGGUAUGAAAUGGGCAAGAGGAGCAAAUUGCCAGCUCUGGCUCAGGUAGCUCUCGUUCAGAAGUGCACGACAACGAGCAACGGGUGGAAGAGAGUAACCCGCAGCCUUCUGAAACUCCCGCUAAGAAGCAAAGGAAGAAGACGCCGAGGGGGAGCCACAACGUGAAGGAGUUCUGUUACGUGGUCACCCGGCACUCUGACAGAGGCCGCCCGGAGUCGUCUGAGAGGGCACAGAAGGCCUUCGCAACGACCUAUGGAGUC
This 30656-nucleotide long non-coding RNA is filed under the name Brachypodium distachyon (stiff brome). RNAcentral's name for it is "long non-coding RNA (BDIS_LNC000794)". The record is from RNAcentral. Lineage: Eukaryota; Viridiplantae; Streptophyta; Magnoliopsida; Poales; Poaceae.